AUUGAACGCUGGCGGCGUGCCUAAUACAUGCAAGUCGAACGAGUGGCGGACGGGUGAGUAACACGUGGGAACCUACCCAUCAGAGGGGGAUAACACUUGGAAACAGGUGCUAAUACCGCAUACUGAUGGAUGGACCCGCGGUGCAUUAGCUAGUAGGUGGGGUAAAGGCUCACCUAGGCGACGAUCUCUAGCUGGGCUGAUAGGAUGAUCAGCCACACUGUGCCUGAGACACGGCCCAGACUCCUCCGGGAGGCAGCAGUGGGGAAUAUUGCACAAUGGGCGCAAGCCUGAUGCAGCCAUGCCGCGUGUAUGAAGAAGGCCUUAGGGUUUUAAAGUACGUUCAGCGGGGAGGCGUUACCCGCAGAAGAAGCACCGGCUAACUCCGUGCCAGCAGCCGCGGUAAUUC
Molecule: ribosomal RNA, 406 nt
Filed under: uncultured bacterium
Lineage: Bacteria
Description: partial 16S ribosomal RNA
Rfam family: Bacterial small subunit ribosomal RNA
Source: RNAcentral